UAAAGACACAAAGCUGAAACAAUUUAAAGCAUCAAAUGAAAGUACUACUUCCAAUACACUUGAGACAUAGACAAAGCAAUUGGAAAUUUGGAAUGUGGAAGACAAUGUAUCAAAACACAUCCAUUACACAGCAAUAUAGAAUGCACAUGGUGAGAACAGAAGCACCCUCAUUGACAGGUCAAAGUCAAGAUAUAUCAUAACAGUAACCAUGACUCCAUAAAUGAUUAGAGGGUCAGACUUCGAAUUUGGAAGUUCUAGCAGGUAAUCACCAGUUUACUUCAGUAGAAAAUGUUGCAGGUUGGAAAUAUAUUAUCACCUGUCAAAAGUCAA
This 330-nucleotide unclassified non-coding RNA is filed under the name Hevea brasiliensis (rubber tree). The record is from RNAcentral. Lineage: Eukaryota; Viridiplantae; Streptophyta; Magnoliopsida; Malpighiales; Euphorbiaceae.